AGUGGCUUUGCAUUAAGUAAGUGCCCUUAAUCAGCUUUUCAGUUCAGUUUUAUUGGUUGCACCACAGUUAUUUCAUCCAGAAAAUCUGAGGGCCCUACAAAGCUAAGCAGCAUUCAGCACUGACAUCAGGCAGGAGAGAACAAUGAGUGAGGCAGCUCCUUAAUCCACACAACCCUCUUCCGUGCCUUUUGAUUGUAAGAUUUCUACUCAUCCACUGCACCAAGAGAAAAGCUGCAGCCAGAACAGAUUCUUUCCUCUCUCUCCUUUUUGCAAGAUUACUUGUAUCACAGGAGAUAUGGAGAAGCUCUACAGGUUGGGAGUUGGAGGCCAAUCUAUAACCUCAUCUACAAGACCGUUAGGAGAGGAAAAACGUGGAUUCCAAUCAACCAAGUAGAACGUCACAUCAAGUCACAACCACUGCUCACCGACAAGACGACAUCCUUACGCCACUGAAACUGAAGCAGGCUGCUGAAUUCAACCCAAGCAUUUAACACCACUGCAGCCUGAAUAUCAGGUUUGGUCAACAUAAAAUAAAAAAUAUUCAUGUGUAGUUAUGUAUUUUUCUGGAGGACAGUCAACCCCAGAAGCCAGUCAGUGGAAUGCAGAGUGUCCUCAAACGACCUCUUAAAUCAGAGUUAAAUGGAAGAUUUUAGUAAGGAGUUAAAGGUAAAAAGAAAAGCAUCUGGAUAUAUCUGUAAGAUGCAGGUAA
This is a non-coding RNA of Podarcis muralis (Common wall lizard), 709 nucleotides long. Lineage: Eukaryota; Metazoa; Chordata; Lepidosauria; Squamata; Lacertidae. The record is from RefSeq and is a predicted model, not a curated record.